GACCAUACAUAGUUUCUUGAGUCUUGAAGAUUACACUUCUAUGGCUACUUGAUUCAGUUUAUGAGCCUUGAAAAUUACACCUCUUCUAUGCAUGCCUGCUUCAUGAUUCUGUUUACACUUCUUCUAUGCAUUUUGCUUCAGGAUUCUGUUUACACUUCUUCUAUGCAUUUUGCUUCAUUGAUUCUAGAAAUUAUUUGAACCAUUGAACAUUAUGUAAUUUCCAUCCUCCAUAAAUUUUAUAUCUUCUCUAUCAUACCACGAGAUAUUUCCUGUAUAAACCAGUGUAUUACUAGCACAAA
Molecule: long non-coding RNA, 299 nt
Filed under: Capsicum annuum
Lineage: Eukaryota; Viridiplantae; Streptophyta; Magnoliopsida; Solanales; Solanaceae
Description: long non-coding RNA (CANN_LNC001113)
Source: RNAcentral